GGGUUCCGUAGCCAAAUGGCAAAAAACGGAACCCUUAUAGAUUCGUCAUGUCUGUCUGUCUGUCCAUCCGUAUGUCACAGCCACUUUUCUCCAAAACUAUAAGAACUAUACUGUUGAAACUUGGUAAGUAGAUGUAUUCUGUGAACCGCAUUAAGAUUUUCACACAAAAAUAGAAAAAAAACAAUAAAUUUUUGGGGUUCCCCAUACUUCCAACUGAAACUCAAAAAUUUUUUUUUCAUCAAACCCAUACGUGUGGGGUAUCUAUGGAUAGGUCUUCAAAAAUGAUAUUGAGGUUUCUAAUAUCAUUUUUUAGGGUUCCAUUGUUUCUAAACUGAAUAGUUUGCGCGAGAGACACUUCCAAAGUGGUAAAAUGUGUGUCCCCCCCCCUGUAACUUCUAAAAUAAGAGAAUGGUAAAACAAAAAAAAAAUAUAUGAUGUACAUUACCAUGUAAACUUCCACCGAAAAUUGGUUUGAACGAGAUCUAGUAAGUAGUUUUUUUUUUACGUCAUAAA
Molecule: long non-coding RNA, 513 nt
Organism: Cydia amplana
Lineage: Eukaryota; Metazoa; Arthropoda; Insecta; Lepidoptera; Tortricidae
Exons: 2
Source: RefSeq, a predicted model, not a curated record